RNAcentral lists this ribosomal RNA (274 nucleotides) under uncultured bacterium. Its description in RNAcentral is "partial 16S ribosomal RNA". It matches the Rfam family "Bacterial small subunit ribosomal RNA", at positions 523 to 796 of the family's 1533-position model. The record is from RNAcentral.
CUACGAAGGGUGCGAGCGUUAAUCGGAAUUACUGGGCGUAAAGCGCGCGUAGGCGGUUGGAUAAGUCGGAUGUGAAAGCCCCGGGCUCAACCUGGGAAUUGCAUUCGAAACUGUCCGGCUAGAGUAUGGUAGAGGGAAGCGGAAUUCCACAUGUAGCGGUGAAAUGCGUAGAUAUGUGGAGGAACACCAGUGGCGAAGGCGGCUUCCUGGACCAAUACUGACGCUGAGGUGCGAAAGCGUGGGGAGCAAACAGGAUUAGAAACCCUAGUAGUCC